UGAAUCUUUCACUGAAAUAGUAAUCCAUUAUAUCCAAGAUCUUGGUCCAUAUAGAAAAAAUCAAAACCUGUUAUCACAGAGAACAAACAAUGCAAAACAGAUGAACAAUAGAUGCCAAUUCACAUCUUGAAGAACAUCUUCAUAUUUACAAAUGAAAAAAAAUAAAAAUCGAGCACUUUCUUAAUUAACGGCUUUUCUUAAUUAUAUGAUAAAAACAUAUUCGAUUUGGGUAAAUAGGCCUAACCGGAUCAAACUUAAGAUAACUUAUUCAAAAGUGGUUAUUGCUUACUCCAAAUCACCAGAUUUUCUUAAGCAGUUGUUAAACAUACUCAAGCACUCGUUGAUCCCAUUUUCCAGCAGAAUAUUCCAUUAAAGAUGCUAACAUGUAUUGAUAAAGUAUAUAUAUCCAUGUAUUAUAUAAAAUAUAUAUGUGAA
Molecule: long non-coding RNA, 435 nt
Filed under: Erythranthe guttata (spotted monkey flower)
Lineage: Eukaryota; Viridiplantae; Streptophyta; Magnoliopsida; Lamiales; Phrymaceae
Description: long non-coding RNA (EGUT_LNC000222)
Source: RNAcentral